This 443-nucleotide ribosomal RNA is filed under the name uncultured bacterium. Its description in RNAcentral is "partial 16S ribosomal RNA". It matches the Rfam family "Bacterial small subunit ribosomal RNA", at positions 338 to 795 of the family's 1533-position model. The record is from RNAcentral.
CCUACGGGAGACUGCAGUGGGGAAUAUUGGGCCAUGGGCGCAAGCCUGACCCAGCAACGCCGCGUGAAGGAAGAAGGCUUUCGGGUUGUAAACUUCUUUUCUGAGGGACGAAGAAAGUGACGGUACCUCAGGAAUAAGCCACGGCUACAUACGUGCAAGCAGCCGCGGUAAUACGUAGGUGGCAAGCGUUAUCCGGAUUUAUUGGGUGUAAAGGGCGUGUAGGCGGGAAAGCAAGUCAGAUGUGAAAACUCAGGGCUCAACCCUGAGCCUGCAUUUGAAACUGUUUGUCUUGAGUGCUGGAGAGGCAAUCGGAAUUCCGUGUGUAGCGGUGAAAUGCGUAGAUAUACGGAGGAACACCAGUGGCGAAGGCGGAUUGCUGGACAGUAACUGACGCUGAGGCGCGAAAGCGUGGGGAGCAAACAGGAUUAGAUACCCUUGUAGUC